CCCACACAGGCAUGAUUUAGAGGACAAUUCUAAUGCCAAAAGUUGAAAGCAACAUAUGGUAUGGCAUCUAGAAGAUAGUUAGGAAUAUGGGGCUUAGUGAAAGAACAAUUACAGGUCAAUACAAAGAAAAGGGAGAUGACAGGUGACUUGCUUCAGAGUGCUUCUCAGCAGCACACUCCAGUGUCCAGAGACCAGGCAGAUGUGAGGCUACUCACAUGGAGAUGUGAGUCCAGCCUGGAGAGGGGUUUUCAGUGUUUCAGCUCUUUGGAUGUGAACCUGACAGUUUUCAGUCACCUACCCAGUGCAUUCUUCAGAGGAACCCAGUAAUCCACAGAUUCUUUUCACUUCCCAAAAGUCCAUCUUGUUGGGAUCCUGAAGGAUCUAGGCAGUCUCAGCAGGGAGGUGGUAUCUUCUUUGCAGGUGAAGGCUCACUCCCCAUUCCUGUCCUCUGAGGAGGAGGAGACCAGAAGGUCCUCAUAGAGGACAUUCCAUAGGACCUGGGAGCUGGCUCCCUCCCCUUAUCUUGAGAGGCUGGGCUCAUACAAGUAUGUGUUUGCUUCUCAGUGGGAUGUCCUGGGGCUCCUUCUAUGAACUUGGAAGUCCAACAAUCACCUUGGUCCUGUUGAAGAUCAUCCUCAGGGGUUGGCCUACAACAUGGGGCACCGAUGGCUCCUGGGACUCAGUACAAGGUCUGGCUGAGACCAGGGCAGCUGUGCUCUUGGGCCUUGGUUGGUCAGUUCUGGGCCCCUGGUCUUUGCACUCCACGCUGAAUACUUGACCACGUGCAUUUCUUUUGGGCACAGUCCUUGGGUGAUGUGCUGAGGUACCCUGAAGCUUGUGAUGGAGUGCAUCCUGUGCAACGGCCUUUCUGCCAUCCUGCCUGAACAGUGGCUUAGGAUCAUCAAUGACAGGUGGUUUGACCUUGUUCCUCUCUGGAGGGCAACAUGCAGGAACUUGCAAAACUUUUCAUGGGAGGGUUUCCAGGGAACAUCUCUCUACACAGAGACUUUUUGGCAGGUGGCACUGUGGUCUCCAUUCCAUCUGGUAGCACCCUUUUUGUUUCCUGCAAUGAACCUCAGCAUCUUUGAGUGCUGUGGAGAACACAAACACAGGCAGAGUUCAGGACCACACUGACCUUCACUAGACGGGUAGUGAAGGCUUUCAGAAAAAAAAACAUGGUGUUCAUAGGAUCAACACUCCAAAAUUGAGUCUGUCUCUGGUCACAUGGAAGUCAAAUCUGCCAGACUGUCAUGUCCCACACCAGCUAUCCUAAACCUGUAGCAUAGGCAAGUUCGGCAUGGAGAAGUGAAGACUUACAGCCUGCCUGCAAAGUUUAGGUCAAGGAUAUUCUGAUGACUCAAAGGUACGUGCCUGUGUCUAAGUGCUUUCUGGUAAGACCUAUAGAAAACUAGUUAUGUCUGGAGAGGCAGGGUGUGAGACUCCUGUGGCCACCUGGAAACAGUUAGCUUCAUUACCAGGUAUCUCACUCCCUAUGGAGAAUUGUAAUCAUCAUACAUGGGAUGAGAAGCCAGUAAAACACAUUUUUAGAUGCCAUGCCUUGAAUGUGAUUCUCACAAUGGUUUUGGGGGUCACUAUGUAGCAAACAGAGUGGCAUGGAAGAAACUGGGAUAUGUAGGUGCCACUUAGAGUUGAUAAGUGUCUGGAUUUCACAAGUAUCAGAAAACAUCAUUUGCCAGCAUGAGGAAAAUCUGUGGACAGACAGGAAGGUAAGAUGAAAGUCUCCAGCGCAGACCAUGUGUGAAACAGGCUUCAGAAAGAGGACUUGGAAUCUGAUAUGCAAGGUCAUUCCCAAGGAUAAUUGAGGAAGUACCUGCCCAACCUCCAGGACAGCUGGUCUACCCUGAGAACCAUAGAGCGGUGGCUCACUCAUCAGCAUCGAUCUGAAUUCUGAAACAGACCAAGUAAACCCCUGGUCCAACAGAUGUUUAUGAAAGCCAACAGGAACAGGGGACAUCGGGGAAUCUUAGCCAAUAUGCUCAAGGUGAUGGACCCACAUUCAGUGAGUCGAGAUGCUUGCAGAUCUGGGGCCAUGGAGGCCUUCCACCACAGAGAGCCCAGAGUAAGCCAAGAGGGUCCAUGGCACAGAAGGUUCCCCCACUGGAAGAAAAGAACCUUGGGUGUAUGAACAUAAAAGGAAGACACUCAUAAAUUUGCCAUUGAAGGUUUAAGGAAGGACCAAAACAUCAGCUAGGCG
Long non-coding RNA from Mesocricetus auratus (golden hamster), 2215 nucleotides. RefSeq lists it as uncharacterized. Lineage: Eukaryota; Metazoa; Chordata; Mammalia; Rodentia; Cricetidae. The transcript has 3 exons. The record is from RefSeq and is a predicted model, not a curated record.